Long non-coding RNA from Canis lupus familiaris (dog), 1043 nucleotides. RefSeq lists it as uncharacterized. The record is from RefSeq and is a predicted model, not a curated record. Lineage: Eukaryota; Metazoa; Chordata; Mammalia; Carnivora; Canidae. The transcript has 3 exons.
GACAAACUGAUCUAUUACAAAGUAGGUCAGAACAGCUGCUAUUCUGGGGCUGUACAGACACGAGGGGGCAUGAGGGAGCCUGCCAGGUGCUGAAAACAUUUAAUAUCUUGAAUGUCCCAGAGUUAUCACACAGGUUUCACACACCUCAAGUCUCUCCUCUGCUUAGUGAGGCAAGCAGUUUCUAGAACCCUCUGCUUGGUCACUUUCCUUUUGGAAACUGCUUAAAGAUGAGGAGAAGGACUUUUGAAAUAGAGAAAUGUUUCUAUGCCGAGAUGCUCAUUCCUGGGUCCCCCGCCGGUGACAAAGAGGGACAAAGAGAUUUCUCAAGGAUAAUUACAACAGUGUAGGAAACAAAGGAUAUAAAAGAAGAAUGUUAAAUUGUUUUGGACAAAGAGCUCGCUGCUUACAAAAAGUCCAUAUAACCUCAUUCCUCUGAACACAAUAUUAUACAUCAUACUAAACAUGAAUAGCUUAUAGGAAAUUAGUAUUAAAUAGAAGAAACAAAAAAACAUAUAUAUAUAUAUAUAUAAAUAACAUAAAAUAGAGUUUGACUCUAAUGUGAUGCUUAACAAAGCAAACUAUGAUGCAAUAUGUAUCAACUUCAUUAAUUGGACAAGUCCCCUGAAGCACAAAUCAAGUAUGUGCUAAACUCUCAACCACCAACUCCAGCUAGAUUCUUUUUGUUCAUGGGUUCUGUCCAAUUCCAUUCCAGAGAGCAUCAGCUUUUUACAUCUUCUUGACUCUAUGGCUGUAGAGAAAAAAAAAAAAAAAGGAAAAAAUAAGCAAAAACAGGGCAACCAGCUGGGAGGAAUGGCUUUUGUGCCUGAAGGUUGCCCCUCACCCCCUAAUCUCAUCUCAGGAUGCCAGCAGCUCAGAGUCCAGAGGAGAUAAUCGAGGUUCAGAGAGGAAGGGCCUUGCCCAAUGUAACUCAGCUAGCUGAUGACAGAAACAGGACCAGACACUUAUAUCUUUAAGUUCAGUGCCUGCUGCACCUUUGUGUUAGGUGACUUCUGUUCAUAUUGAUAAAAUGUUAUUCUCUAUUA